Molecule: long non-coding RNA, 473 nt
Organism: Hydra vulgaris (swiftwater hydra)
Lineage: Eukaryota; Metazoa; Cnidaria; Hydrozoa; Anthoathecata; Hydridae
Source: RefSeq, a predicted model, not a curated record
AAAGAUUUUGAACGUAAACCUUAUUUCUAGCAGUCCAACAUUGUAAAAAGACUAUAUAUAAUCUGAUAGCAAUAUAUGUGGGAUCACACUCUCUAUUUUCUGAAACCAUCUGUGUGCACUUCAAUUGCAGGAUAUAUGAUCGCCUAUGGAAUCAGUUAGAGUUAAUUGGAAAUGAGCAAGUUGUGCUGAUGUCGGAGUCACUGCAUACUCUAUAUGAAGAUACAUUCAUACGUAAAGAAAAAGAGAUAAAAGUAUAUGGUUGGCUAUAAUAUGGAAAGUUUAAAAAGUUAAAAUCCACAAAGCAUAAAGUAUAAAUAUGGAAUCUGGAAGCACUGAAAAAGCAUUGUAUUGAAUCUGGAUACUAUGUAGAGAGAAAAAUAAGAUAUGUUUGACUAUAAUCAAGAGAAUGCGAGAAAAAACGCAAAAAGAAAGAAAGAUAACAGUUAUUUGUUCUAAAAGCAUAUAUAUAAUAU